GUUAUAUAUGUGAGAACCUAAAAUUGGGAUUAAAGGAGUGGAUUAGUGCAUUAGACUAAUAGAACCAGAUUUUUUAUUUUAGUAUAAAUAUAGAUUUCUGAACAACCUGGUUCAUUAGCCUACUUCCACUAUCUCUCUAAAAUCUCAAGUUCUUCUAAGUUCUCCUCCUUCUCUCUACCAUUUCUCCUCACUGAGCCAUUGGAUCUCCGAUCAGGUGGCGCCCAAACGUCCGCAACAUAGAGGGCUUCGAAACUGACCGAUUCAUUUUGGGUUCUAGGCUGGGUUUGGUUGAGUUCUUGCUGUGAAAGGUACGGUUGAGGUGUUCUUGGGAGCUGGUCAGUUUGUACUUGAGAGGUAGAUGAGGUACCCCUGGAGCAGGCCCUGGAUAGUGAUGAUGUUG
RNAcentral lists this small RNA (400 nucleotides) under Vigna angularis var. angularis. RNAcentral's name for it is "Non-protein coding transcript". The record is from RNAcentral. Lineage: Eukaryota; Viridiplantae; Streptophyta; Magnoliopsida; Fabales; Fabaceae.